CACGUAGUUAGCCGGGGCUUCUUAGUCAGGUACCGUCAUUUUUUUCUUCCCUGCUGAUAGAGCUUUACAUACCGAAAUACUUCUUCACUCACGCGGCGUCGCUGGAUCAGGGUUUCCCCCAUUGUCCAAUAUUCCCCACUGCUGCCUCCCGUAGGAGUUUGGGCCGUGUCUCAGUCCCAAUGUGGCCGUCCACCCUCUCAGGCCGGCUACUGAUCGUCGCCUUGGUGGGCCGUUACCCCACCAACCAGCUAAUCAGACGCGGGUCCAUCAUAUACCACCGUAGUUUUUCACACUGUCUCAUGCAAAACUGUGCGCUUAUGCGGUAUUAGCACCUAUUUCUAAGUGUUAUCCCCCUGUAUAUGGCAGGUUACCCACGCGUUACUCACCCGUCCGCCACUAAGUCAUCAACAUUUCCACUCUUAGCAAGCUAAUUGCUUCAAAAAUGAUGACUCCGUUCGACUUGCAUGUGUUAAGCACGCCGCCAGCGUUCAUCCUGAGCCAGGAUA
This 506-nucleotide ribosomal RNA is filed under the name uncultured Lachnospiraceae bacterium. Its description in RNAcentral is "partial 16S ribosomal RNA". Lineage: Bacteria; Bacillati; Bacillota; Clostridia; Lachnospirales; Lachnospiraceae. The record is from RNAcentral.